Molecule: small nucleolar RNA, 83 nt
Filed under: Phaseolus vulgaris (common bean)
Lineage: Eukaryota; Viridiplantae; Streptophyta; Magnoliopsida; Fabales; Fabaceae
Source: RNAcentral
UGCAAUCUGUGAUGAAUUUUUAUUAAUGCUCUGAUUGAUCAGUGAUUAUUAUACUAAAUCACCAUCUUUCGGCUGAGAUUGCA